GUGCUCGCUCACUUUGGCAGCACAUAUACUAAAAUUGGAACAAUGCAGAGAUUAUGAGCCUGGCCCCUGCACAAGGAUACCACGCAAAUUCUUGAAGUGUUCCAUAUGUUU
Molecule: small nuclear RNA, 111 nt
Organism: Acomys russatus (golden spiny mouse)
Lineage: Eukaryota; Metazoa; Chordata; Mammalia; Rodentia; Muridae
Source: RefSeq, a predicted model, not a curated record